GUGUCCGUGGCUGAGUGGUCUAAAGCAGUAGACUGUUAAUCUACCGUAGGUAAAACCUACCGUAAGUUCGAAUCUUACCGGGCACG
This 86-nucleotide transfer RNA is filed under the name Prevotella sp. CAG:1092. It matches the Rfam family "tRNA". From Rfam's summary of the family: Transfer RNA (tRNA) molecules are approximately 80 nucleotides in length. Their secondary structure includes four short double-helical elements and three loops (D, anti-codon, and T loops). Further hydrogen bonds mediate the characteristic L-shaped molecular structure. tRNAs have two regions of fundamental functional importance: the anti-codon, which is responsible for specific mRNA codon recognition, and the 3' end, to which the tRNAs corresponding amino acid is attached (by aminoacyl-tRNA synthetases). tRNAs cope with the degeneracy of the genetic code in two manners: having more than one tRNA (with a specific anti-codon) for a particular amino acid; and 'wobble' base-pairing, i.e. permitting non-standard base-pairing at the 3rd anti-codon position. The record is from Rfam by way of RNAcentral. Lineage: Bacteria; Pseudomonadati; Bacteroidota; Bacteroidia; Bacteroidales; Prevotellaceae.